Long non-coding RNA from Gadus morhua (Atlantic cod), 645 nucleotides. The record is from Ensembl. Lineage: Eukaryota; Metazoa; Chordata; Actinopteri; Gadiformes; Gadidae.
GCUGUCAUUCAUCCAUGUGAAUGGGAAUCAUUGGAACAUGCUGUACAUUCAUGCAAAGUCUGGCACAGUCUUCCAAUUGGAUCCAUCACCAGCAUCCUCUGAGCUUGAGGACUCUGCACAUGCCGCCACGAAAAUACAGGAAUACUUCAAGAUGAGGAGAACAUCCCAUGGGAAAACGGACUGGGUUGAUGUUGAGUGGAAAGGAGGAGUAAUGCCCCACCCAGUGCAAAGGGAUGGUUGCAGUUGUGGCGUUAUUGUUGUUGAAAUGGCCAGAGCAGUAAUGGGAGCCUUCCCUCAGUUGCCCCAAAUGCAAUUUGAAACCACCAGGAAAGCCAUGGGAGAAUCUAGGAGGAAUAUGGGUCUCCAAGUCCUUGAGGCAUCAGUCUUUGAUGAAGAGACAUGUGCAAUGUGUGGAGCUGACAGGCCCCCUGGAGAAGCACCUGCCAACACAAACUGGAUCCAGUGUGAUAAAUGUGACCGGUGGUUCCAUGCCGUCUGUUUAACCAUGGACCCCAGGACACUUCAAGAGCUGAAGCAAAAGCAAUGGCUGUGGUGGUAUCCUGCCCCUGCGACGAUCAGCAGGCUACUUUCAGCUGUCGUCGCAUCACCCCUGCUCACCUUACAGCUAUGGCAGAUAAGUUACCC